GAGCAGAUAAUGUGUGACGAGUUUAUCAAUUCCGUCGUUAUUGAAUGUUUUGCCGGAUUUGAAACGCAUUUUAACGCGUUUAAUGUCAUAUGUCGUAUAGUUUGGGGAUCGAUAACAUGCGUUAGUCAUUACUCACCCAGCGGAUCGCGAUAAAUCACAGAAGAAAUUAACGAGCGGCGAAGAUGACACUUGGUCCCCUCCUCAUCUCGUCCUUUUCCUUCGCCGUUUCUACCCCCACCGGUGAAAUAUGGCCGGCAACUUUUCUCAUACUUGAGAGUUUUCCUGAGCGGCGCGGCGCAUCCCACGUACCAUAUCGUUCUAGAGGACGAGGAGGCGAGGGCAAGAGCAGGGGGAAGUUAUCAAGUGCUCCUUGCGGGAUGAGUGCUAUAAGGUAACACUACGAGGGAAGGAAAAGAGCGAUACACCUCUUCGUAAUGUUGGCAUAAAGAACGAUCGAGAGGACUUUCCAUAUACAUAUCAUUAGUUUCCUUCGUGAUUGUCUCUUUCGAAAAUUAUUAUUCUCACAUCGCUAUUAUAAUAAAAUCAAGAGAAAAUGUG
Long non-coding RNA from Wasmannia auropunctata (little fire ant), 558 nucleotides. RefSeq lists it as uncharacterized. The transcript has 2 exons. Lineage: Eukaryota; Metazoa; Arthropoda; Insecta; Hymenoptera; Formicidae. The record is from RefSeq and is a predicted model, not a curated record.